Molecule: small RNA, 682 nt
Filed under: Pongo abelii (Sumatran orangutan)
Lineage: Eukaryota; Metazoa; Chordata; Mammalia; Primates; Hominidae
Description: retained intron
Source: RNAcentral
AGUUCCUAGGCCAGCCUGUCACGUGGGAGGGAGGCUCUGCGCCCAGCUCGCGCUCAGGAAGCAUGGCACUCUGGCGGGCAUACCAGCGGGCCCUGGCUGCUCACCCGUGGAAAGUACAGGUCCUGACAGCUGCAGCUGGUGGAGAGGCGGGGUCUGCAGGAACACCAGAGAGGCCGGACUCUGACCAUGGUGUCGCUGGGCUGUGGCUUUGUGGGCCCUGUGGUAGGAGGCUGGUACAAGGUUUUGGAUCGGUUCAUACCUGGCACCACCAAAGUGGAUGCACUGAAGAAGAUGUUGUUGGAUCAGGGGGGCUUUGCCCCAUGUUUUCUAGGCUGCUUUCUCCCACUGGUAGGGGCACUUAAUGGACUGUCAGCCCAGGACAACUGGGCCAAACUACAGCGGGUGAGCUGGGCAGGUGUGGAGAAUGUCUCUGGCUGGCAGGCUGACAGCCCAGGGGAAGGAGACAGGUUUUACAGGGAUAAAAAAGGGGGUAAGUGCAGGUAGAGUCCCAGGCCAUGGAGGAGAGGAGCUGAGGGUUAUGGUGGAGGAAUGUGCUCUUUGAACCCAAGUCUGUGUGUGACAUUCACACUGGGAAAUGGGAACUGCUUGGAGGCGCAAGUGCUAAUUUGUUCCUUCUCUGUCUCCCCAGGAUUAUCCUGAUGCCCUUAUCACCAACUACUAU